RNAcentral lists this long non-coding RNA (7176 nucleotides) under Panax ginseng (ginseng). RNAcentral describes it as "long non-coding RNA (PGIN_LNC004387)". Lineage: Eukaryota; Viridiplantae; Streptophyta; Magnoliopsida; Apiales; Araliaceae. The record is from RNAcentral.
CUAGGUAUCUUUUCUCAUUAAUAGUUUCCAUUAUUAAUUAAUAGUUUGCAUAAUUUAGUUAAUAAAUCUUCUCCACCAUUUUUGUUUCUAAUUUGCCUAAAAUAUUGUGGGCCUAAGUGCAAAAUUAGGGUCCACAUGACCUAAUUUAAUUAAAUGCGCAAUUAGGGUUCCACGACCUCAUUAAAUGUGCUAAUUAGGGUUCGCAUAACCUAAUGGAAUGAAGACGGAAAAGUCGAAAAUAAAUGUGCUAGACCCGAGAGAAGCCUCCACGUGUCCCGAGGCAGAAGGCUCGUAGAGGCAGCUCAUUUUGGGAAUUGAUUGAGGGAUUGAAUUGGUGGCUAGAAGGAUAGGACAAUCUGGCAUUACUCUGAUGAUUAAAGGGUAUUUCUAGAAUUUUCCUGAAAGCAUGUGCCUGGCACAUGACCACUUUUCAGAAAACCCUAUAAAUACCCCUCCAUUUUAUUGGGAAGGGGACCUCUCUUCAGACACAGGACUUGGAUUCUUGGAAGAUCAAAGGACCUGGACAUUCUCUCUCAACACUCAGGAAGACUCUUGGAAUCCCAAUAACCCUAAUAAGGUUUCCGGAUUCUAGGGGUGAAAGGACUCAAGAAGAAGGCUCUUGGAAGCCCAAUAACCCAAACACGGUUUCCGGAUUCUAGGAGUUCUGCCACGCGUCAUUGGAAUAAUCGUCCACCUGUCGUUCUCCCCUCUUCAAUCAAUCAAUCAAUUUCGUGCUCUUCGUGGAUUCCUCUCCUCCUCAGCCAACACGAAAUCCUAACUUGCAAGGCACCAUUUCCUUGCCCACAUUUCUUUGGCGACUCUGCUGGGGAGGUGUAGAAUUUGUGAAGGGUAUGCCCACAACUCGAAGUGGGAGAACAACAAGAAGAGUUUCACCAACAAAUAGCAUUACAUCACCGGAUCCGGUUCCAAAGCAAUCAAGUCAAGCUUUCCAAGGCGUGAAUCUAAAUUUCGAGCAACCCAUCCUUGAAGACGCCUCAGAAGGAAGUUCAACAUCAUCAUACAUGGCUGAUCAACAACUAACGAAUGUCAGGCAGACAAGCGUGGGAAGGCAAGGCGAGGAAGAAAGUGGGGAGCAGGCAAAUGUUGUGCAACUGGAGAUGCUCAAGGCGUUGAAGGAAGCACGAGAAUGACACGGGAUGAUAAUGGCUAUGAUGCUGGAGUUGCAGAGAAAGCAAGAGAAAAUGGGAAAUUUCCGCCCGUAGUUGAUGCAGAUUCCCGUUUUCAAGGCCAUGUUCCCAGAUAAUUCACAUGGAGAACAAGCAGGAGUGGAAGACAACAACAACGACAGUAACAAUAAGGAGAAUCAGACCGCACCUCCAUUGACGGAGAAUCAGUAUGUUCCAAUCAUCCACUUGGAACCUCAGAACAGUGGUGACGUGCCACAACCCGACUGGAAGUCAGCCAGCCUCAGACAAACAUCAUUCCGACCACUAUCCCCGUAUUUUCAUAAGUGCAGAUACCAAUCAUCCCAAGCCACGUCCAACGAGCGAGCCAACAAGCACAAUCAAUGCAAGCUUUGCACGAUGCAAGUGUGCAUCAACCAAUUUCUUUAUCAUACACACCGCCAAUGCAACAAUACAUUACAACACCACAAAGAGUCCAUGCCACGAGCCAAUACGUGACGAAAGAUGAUAUGAUCAAUGUGAUCAAUCAGGCAGACAUCCCGACCUUCAGAGUUAGACAUUACUCCACCCUACCCGGCACAUAUUCGGAGACAACCUUACCCGUCAGGGUAUAUUGAACAUCCCCCGCAAUUUCCAAAAUACAAUGAGGAGAAAGGAAAUGUCAGGGAACACAUUGCCAGGUUCGUGGAGUCGAUGUCUCCAUGGUUAGGAUAUGAUUAAAUGAACAAUCACAAUUUGUUGAUGAGGGAAUUCAACAAGACUUUGACGGAUAAUGCCUUCAGUUGGUACUACAACUUGGAGAAGGGAUCAGUCCAUGAUUGGGAUGAUUUAAAAUUGCAAUUUUUUAAAAAAAAUUCUAUGUGCAGAAACAGGUAACCACCGUAGAGCUCAUGCGAUUCAAGCAGAAGCCAAACGAGGAGCUGUCAGAUUACGUGGAUAGGUUCAGGGCCCAAACACAAAAGUGUGCAGAGCCAAUUGAAGAAAAGAACUUGGUUAACAUGCAACAAUGGUGCUUUAGACGCCUUCAAGCCCCACCUCAUUACCAAAGCUUGUGAUUCAUUUGCGACCCUCUCAUCUUUUGCACGAGACUUGGGAGGAAUCAUGACAUUGCCCACCAGCCAUGCGAUGGUUACAUGGAAGGGCAAGAGGACAGCAGCUGUGGCUUUGGCGGAUUCUCAGUCAAAACCACAAGGGAGCAAGAGGGAAAAGAAUGAGAAAUUUGAACGAAGCAGAGAAAAGCAUGGGGACAAGUAUACCAGAAUGCCAGUUUCAGAGGCUAUCACAUGCAGCGAAAAGGCAUUCAGAAGCCUGUACGAACAAUGGGUUAAGCACGGAGUGGUGAAGCCUCCAAGGCCUCGGCUGGUUGUAACGGAAGAGAUGAAAAGAAGACCGGACUUCUGUGUAUACCACCAAUACGCAGGACAUUCCACUAUGGACUGUUAUAGCCUGCGAAGGAUAUACCAUGAGAAGCUGGCGACCGGGGAGAUUGAACUAGGAGAAGAAACGUGCAACACUAUCACCCAUAGUGUAGUCCCGGAAGUCAAGAACCCAAAUACUGGCUUUACCAUCGAAAAAACUAUGAACUACAGAUGAAUUAAAAAUCCACCCAAGAUGGUGGUCCACCAAAAAUGGUGGUUUAAGUCCUCAGGAGUAUCCCUUGCCAAGUAAUUGGAUGACCAAGGGAGGAGGCACAAGAAUUGACGAAUUAAAAAAAAAAUACACCAAAGAUGGUAGUCCACUCUAAAUGGUGGUCAACUCCUCGUAGACUGCACUUGCUAAGAAAUUGGACGACCCAAGUGACGAGGCACCCGAUUUUAAGUCCUCGUAGACUGCACUUGCCAAGAAAUUGGACGACCCAAGUGACGAGGCACCUGAUUUCAAGUCCUCGUAGACUGCACUUGCCAAGAAAUUGGAUGACCCAAGUGACGAGACACAUGAUUUUAAGUCCUCGUAGACCCUUGCCAAGAAAUUGGACGACCCAAGUGACGAGGCACCGAGUGUUACACUUUAUCAUCAAAAGUGAAUGGUGAAUAAGGCACCUAAGUAUAAGCCCUCAACCCCGAAAAAAAAGUUACACUUUAUUUCUAAAAGUGGUGAACGUUAUGUUUUUUUCGACAAAAGCAAGAAAGUUACACUUUAUCUCUAAAAGUGGCGAACGUUAUGCUUUCUUCGACAAAAGCAAGAUUUAUUAUAUGAAACGUUAUGAUUUUCGUUAAAAGCAAUUUGAUUAUCAAUGAAUUGACAAACUCACUUAUACUUGAAUGUUUUUUUUGAGUUCUUUAAAAAAAAAGGUAUGAAUUCAAGUGUUGGUUUGUGGAAAAUAUAUAUACAUGUUUUUUACAAAUUUCAUGUUUGCUUGUUUAUAAUACCUAUUGUUGUCUUGGAGUAUUAAUUUGAAUAACCUGAGAUUCGAUGAUAAAUAUUGAGUUUUAAAGAAUCAUUCAAAUUAAAGGCAAUCAAUAAGGAUAAAAGAAACUAUAAUAUGAUGAAUGAAAUAUAUGUACAUUAAUUUUCUGAUACGGGAAAUAGAAAAAACAACGAAAGUUCAUGAUCUAAAGGCCAUGACCUGUCGAAUUGAAGAGAGGAAAAUAGCUAAAGCUUGGUCUUCAAUUUAUCCAUGGCAUCUUGAAGCUCCUAAAGCUCUGCAUAAAGUAAGUCAUGCUCAUGGUGACGAGAAGUGACUUCCGAACGAAGUGCAACAACGUGAUGAUGGGAGAGAUCCAACCUAACAUGGAAGGAAGACAUGUCCAAGGAGAGUUAGGAGAUGCCACGGGAGGCAGAAGGUCAUUCAACCCACCCAAAGUGCUAUCCACAAUACCCUCCCGAGAAAUCACCAAGGAGGAUUACAUCAGCAAUAGUCUCAGAAGGAUUCCGCCUCCAAGAAGCAAGAGUCUCAUCGGCACCCUCAAAACUGUCAUGUGGAGAAGUUGUAGAAAGGCGUCAUGUGGCGAAGAAGACUCGAUACCCGCUGCCCCAUUUGCGAUACUCACAAAGAGCCCAAUGGGAAAAUCAUCAUCAUCUUCAUUAGCAAUGGUCUUCGACUUCUUGAUUCUAAAGAAAAGAGAAAUUUCAAGAGAAGGUAAGAAGGAUUACAUCGAAGAUUUUCCAAAAUUUCCCAGGAGAACUCCUUUAAGGCUCGCUCUCCUAAGGUUUUCUCCCCUAGAGGUUCCCUCUCCUAGGACUUUUUCGUUUUCGAGGCUUGCAAAACAUCAAACCCCGCGAAGUGUUCAAACACUGGAAUCAAGACUUCAAUACUUAAAAUAUUUUGCGCGAUCAUCUCACCUAAGGCGUGACUAACGCGCAGGGGGCAAAUGCUUACUGGUAGAUUGGUAGAUGACAUAGACAUCCUCCAGAGUAGAGGUGCAUUCCCCCCAAGCCGUGACGAAUGUGCAUGUAGAGGAGCAUCAUGGUCCUGUUGGAUAUGAAUGUCCCUACAUAGCUUGAUGUAAUGAAGAAUGUUCACAUAAUCAACAUUCCCAAGUAUCUCGUCGAUCCAAUGAUGCCAUUCCUGAAGGAGGCUAGAUGAAUCAGACAAGAAGUGAAAGGAACUGAAAGGGUACUCUUGUUUCUCUAUGCAUAGACGGAGAAUGUGAUCAGAAUGGGGAAAGUCAGUCCAACCUCCACAAGCCGCUGCAUAUAGAAAUAAGCCUUCCUUCUCUGGCGGAGGAAGAAUUGUACGGUCAUAAGUUUGGACCUGCUUCCAAAAGACGUCGAAAAGACCAAAGGAGGGGAGCCAUUCCCCAAUCAUUGAGAAACGGGAUCUCCUUGGUUGUUCCCAGGUCUACAAAAUAUUCAAUCGAGAGGGCCUGCAAGCAAGGGAAGUUCAUUAUAAGAAUUCUAAAGAAAGCAAAGAAAGGAUGUCAAGUAUAAAGUGAUUGAGCUCGAAGUGCUCACCAUGACAAAGAGGAAAGUCUGAGAUUUAAGCUUCAAAACACCUGAAAAGAAGAAGAAACAAUGUCAGAAAGAGUUAGGAAUCAUAAUUAUGGAAGAAACAAAAUUCCCGAAAAUUUUUGAAAAACUUCAGACGGCCAAAAGGCAUCCUUCGGAGCCUUUUGUGGACUUAUAACGGCAUACAUCAUGGCCGUUGGCGAUGACUUUUGUAGGGUUCAUCGCUAGCUUUGUUUUGAUAUAUUAUGGGCUCCGAAACUCCAAACGAGUCAAAAGUUAUGAUCAAAAUUGUAACUGCUCCUCCAAAACUUCAUUUUUUUCAUUUAAACUUCAAUUACUCUAUAGGGUUCGGCCAUGUUGGGUUGUUCCUUUCAUUUCUUAAAAAAAAAGGACAUGUUGGCUUCGGCCACCUAGGGGUUGUUCUUUUCAUCCCUUAAAAAAAACAGCCCAUGUUAGUCAUUUCUUUAAAAAAAGGCCAUGUUGGCUUCGGCCACCUAGGGGUUGUUCCUUUCAUCCCUUAAAAAAAAAAAAAAAUACCAUGUUGGCUUCGGCCCCAUAGGGCUCGGCCAUGAUGGCUUCGACCACCUAGGGGUUGUUCCUUUCAUCCCUUAAAACAAAAACAAAAAAUCAUCUAUAGGGUUCGACCAUGUUGGCCUCGACUACCUAGGGGAUGUUCCUUUUCAUACCUUCUAGGUCUUGUUGCUCCACGAAUCAACUGCUUGGAACGAAUCCUCUUUCGCCACGAAAAUUAUAACCUUCCUCUGAUGAAUUCCGAGAGAAAAAACUAAGAUAUGAUCAAGGUAAUGGGGCUCGAAAAAUAGAAGAAAGGCUACAAUUACCAGGAAUAUAUAUAUAUAUAUAUAUAUAUAUAUAUAUAUAUAUAUAUAUAUAGAUGAAACAAUUAUGAGGAGUUCAGAAAAUCAAAGGUCUUCCAAUCCAAGGAGCAGUAUAAUUUUUGUAACCUCACGCAAAUAUUCUUGAUCCUUGAUCCUUGAUCCAUAGCGUGCGUAAGAAAGGUUCGGGAGUGGAGGCUUAUAAUGUGGCAAUUUAUAUAAGCUGCAUAUAUAUCACAAGAAGUUUACAAGCCCAACUAUUGGAUAAUUGCCUGCAAGCAUCACUUGGCCUAAUCAUGUAUACAUAUGGAGUUAAACUUUGUUGGCUAGUAGGGGAGUAGCAUGUACAGCUUCAAUAGGGGUCCCUUCUUAUUGCAAAUAACACCCAAGUAAUGCGGCAACAGAACUGCCCACUGCAAUUCGGAUGCAAGACAUUCGGCCGUGGAUUAUGAAUAUCGACUUCUUACUUCUCCAAAUCAAGAUUAAAAAAAUAAGGAAACAAAUCUUGGACAAAUUAUGGAAAGAUUUUUGGAGGAUUUCCCAAUAUAUCCAAGGAAGAGCCCUGCCAGGGUUUGGCUCCCUAGGGGUUCCCUCUACUAGGAUCAUUGUCUUCAAGACUUGUAAAGUGAAGUCCAGCAAAAUUGUUCAAAGGCUUGAAGUAUUCUUGCACAAUCGUCUAUUUGGGAAUGCGACUCUUGUGCAGGAGGCAAAUGUGGGCCCAAGUGCAAAAUUAGGAUUCACAUGAAUUAAUUGAAUUAAAUGUGCAAUUAGGGUUCCACGACCUCAUUAAAUGUGCAAAUUAGGGUUCGUAUAACCUAAUAGAAUGAAGACAGAAAAGUCGAAAAUAAAUGUGCUAGACCCGGGAGAAGCCUCCACGUGUUCUGAGGCAGAAGGCUCGUGGAGGCGGCUCGUUUUGGGAAUUGAUUGAGGGGUUGGAUAGGUGACUAGAAGGACAGGACAAUCUGGGCAUUACUCUGAUGAUUAAAAGGUAUUUCUGGAAUUUUUCACAUGACCACUUUUCAGAAAACCUAUAAAUACCCCUUCCAUUCUAUUGGGAAGGGGACAUCUCUUCAGACACAGGACUUGGACUCUUGGAAGAUCAAAGGACCUGAACAUUCUCUCUUAACACUCAGGAAGACUCUUGGAAUCCCAAUAAUCCUAAUAAGGUUUCCGAAUUCUAGGGGUGGAAGGACUCAAGAAGAAGGCUCUUGGAAUCCCAAUAACCCUAACACGGUUUCUGGAUUCUAGGAGUUCUGCCACGCGUCAUUGGAAUAAUCGUCCACCUGUCGUUCUCCCCUCUUCAAUCAAUC